AAACAACCUACUGUUUAACCUGCACAUCAAGCAAAACAAUAAUCAGACUUUAAAAUGUGGCCAAAUAUAAUAACAGAAUAUAAGCUCCAUUUCUCUUCUGCUUAAUUCAAUCUUCAAUAUGAUCUGAUUAUGUCACCCAGAACAUCCUCCUUAUAUGUGCAAACUGGGAAGCCACUCAAUGGCUAAAGAAGUUUCUAGAUGCAUAGACAUCUCUCAACAAUUCAUAGACAUCUCUCAACAAUUCACCACGGAGAUCAACUGAUACAUGGUUUAAGGCAAACAACCACAACAGUUGUCCUUCAAAGUCAUGCAUGAUCGGUAGAUUUUAUCAUCUUCCAGAAUUAAUAAAUCAUCAGAAAGGGUAAAGAGAAAAAUAAAAUUUGCAACUGUAAUAACAAUACCUGAAAUAACAAAAAAACAUGUUCCUCAAUCUCUGAUGUACAUUGCAGAGACAGGAGACCAAGUCGUAUCAAGAGCUACUGCAAUAUUUUUCUCAAUAUUAAUGCAGUUUUUAUAGCAAUCAAUUCUCGUGUACAAACACAUCUAUCCUGUCCAUGGAAUACUAAGAAAAAGUUCCAUAUUCCAACAACAGAUUGUUCAAAUCCAUGAUAAUAAAUAUUUUUUCACUGAACAAAGCAAAAGACUAAAAAUUCAGGCCAUGGCAUUCACAUAUAACCAGGAAUUUUCGAAAAAAAAAGAAAAAGUAAUUGGCUAGUGUUAGCAAGGUAAAAAUGGCACUUUCUUUGGUUACAGAAAACUAACCUGCAUUUUCCAGAGGGUGG
RNAcentral lists this unclassified non-coding RNA (782 nucleotides) under Hevea brasiliensis (rubber tree). The record is from RNAcentral. Lineage: Eukaryota; Viridiplantae; Streptophyta; Magnoliopsida; Malpighiales; Euphorbiaceae.